RNAcentral lists this ribosomal RNA (203 nucleotides) under uncultured Thermovirga sp. RNAcentral describes it as "partial 16S ribosomal RNA". It matches the Rfam family "Bacterial small subunit ribosomal RNA", at positions 1180 to 1382 of the family's 1533-position model. Lineage: Bacteria; Thermotogati; Synergistota; Synergistia; Synergistales; Thermovirgaceae. The record is from RNAcentral.
UGACGUCAAGUCAUCAUGGCCCUUAUGUCCAGGGCGACACACGUGCUACAAUGGCCGGCAACAGCGGGAAGCGAGGGGCGACCUGAGCGGAUCCCUCAAAGCCGGUCUCAGUUCGGAUUGCAGUCUGCAACUCGACUGCAUGAAGUUGGAAUCGCUAGUAAUCGUGGAUCAGCCAAGCCGCGGUGAAUACGUUCCCGGGCCUU